GAUUCAUAAUAUUCAGAUGAGGUGGUGCAAUUUUUUAGAAUAACUAAAACAAAGAUAUGCUGACAAAAAUGUUAUGAUGUUAAUUCUGAUCCCUUGUGAUGAUGUUGAUUAUACUACCUUAACAAUGAUUAUAGAAAAAUUUAGAGGUUGUGAAUUUUCAUAGUUGCUGUCUAAAUCAACAUGUUUUCUCAUUUGUAAAACUUCAGAGGGGUUUCAUAGCUAUAGCUUACAAAAGAGAGCAUAACUCCAAAGAGCAGAGACAAGCUUACAAUGGGGGAGGAAAUUAUUCCUAGUCCCACAAAUGUCAUACUAAAGUCAAGAUAAAAUAUGCGUAAAAUAAAUUCAUCCAACAAGAUUAAUAACAAGUGAAUGGAUGCUUAGAUGAUGGUAAGGUUUUAGAUAAGCUUGGUUUUGAGGUAAAGAAAUAUUCUUUCUGCAUUCAUGCUUGCAUUUCUCAAAUUCUUUUGUUGACUUUGGUUUUGAAUGCGCAUAUUGGCAAUUAUUUGAAUUUGGAUAUUCUGUAGGUUAUGUUUAUGGAAUCAUUUGUAGGCACGUAUUAGCAUUCUUCAGGGCAAAAAAUGUUCUUUCACUUCCACCUUAUUAUGUGUUGAAACGCUGGACAAGGAAUGCGAAAACUAGUGUGUUGUUAGACGAACACGCAUAUGAGCUACCUAGUAGUUCUCGUGAGUCUACGAGAGUACGUUACAAUAAUUUACGUCAAGAAGAAAUCAAUUAUGUGGAAGAAGGUGCUAAAUCAAUCCAAACAUAUCAUGUUGCAAUGAAAGCUUUUCUUUGGGGUAUACUGAGAGUUAUCUCCUCUGAGAAGCUUUGCUCUAGGGUCAUCUAAGUUUGAAUAAGUUGAAGCAAUUGGCUCUUCACCUAACAAAUUUGAAGUCCUUGUAGUACUCUGUUUUGAAACCAGUUGUACAUACAAGAUCUGCAGCCCCAUCGCAUGGCUCUCAAGACUUAAGCAUAAGCUUUCCUACGAUGAGACCUUAUUUCGAACGAAAAGGUUGUAUGUCAAAAAACUCAACAUUAUGUUAGUUCAGGUAAACACCGCAAUUAUUGUGUUCAAUGGUUGAUUGGAGUCAACAACAGGAACCAUAGUUACAUUAUAUUCUUCCCUACAAAUUAUGGCUUUCAAUCUGGUAUAAUACUCUAUCAUGCUUUUUUACAUAUUUCAUUCCCGAUUAUGACAUAUCAAAACCAAACAUUGCAGUGUUUGUCUGAGCUAUGUUCCAUCCUUCAAGUUUUGAUAUUUUUACUUGAACUUUUUAUAGAAAUAUUCACUUUUGAUGUUUGCAGGUGGCAUCCCUUCAUUUUGGGAUUAUUAUGAUGUGCAGUAUGUCAAGAUGUGUGAUAUAUUCAUUAGCCAAUUGCAAGUGUGUAAAAAUGUUGCUUGGCUGAGGCUGAUGUCUUUAAGCUGCAUUGCAUACUAUAUCAUAUUUGGACUCAUUCAAGAAUACUCCUUCAUUAUUGGUUUGCUUGCUUGGUGUUAUGCUCUUUGAUAAGAGAUCUAUUGCAAACAUUUCUAAUACUUCGCCAAAGGUUGUCUAUCAUGAUACUUCAAAGAUGUUGAUAUACAAUCCGAGUA
Long non-coding RNA from Vicia villosa (hairy vetch), 1594 nucleotides. RefSeq lists it as uncharacterized. The transcript has 5 exons. Lineage: Eukaryota; Viridiplantae; Streptophyta; Magnoliopsida; Fabales; Fabaceae. The record is from RefSeq and is a predicted model, not a curated record.